CACGUAGGGUGCGAGCGUUGCCCGGAUUUAUUGGGCGUAAAGGGCGCGUAGGCGGUCACGCACGUCCGUUGUGAAAUCGCUCGGCUCAACUGGGCGGGGGUCAGCGGAUACGGCGUGGCUGGAGCAAGCUAGGGGGCAAUGGAAUUCCCGGUGUAGUGGUGGAAUGCGUAGAUAUCGGGAGGAACACCAGUGGCGAAGGCGGUUGCCUGGAGCUUUGCUGACGCUGAUGCGCGAAAGCGUGGGGAGCGAUCCGG
This 254-nucleotide ribosomal RNA is filed under the name uncultured bacterium. RNAcentral describes it as "partial 16S ribosomal RNA". It matches the Rfam family "Bacterial small subunit ribosomal RNA", at positions 524 to 776 of the family's 1533-position model. The record is from RNAcentral.